Molecule: small RNA, 536 nt
Filed under: Pan troglodytes (chimpanzee)
Lineage: Eukaryota; Metazoa; Chordata; Mammalia; Primates; Hominidae
Description: processed transcript
Source: RNAcentral
ACAUAGUACCUCCCUCCUACCCUCACUGUCACAUUGCAGGCCCCUGCCAGCUCCUGCACCCAAGGAAACGGCCAAAAUUGCCUUUUAAAAACUUUAAUUCUGUUUUUUGUUUUGUUUUGCUUGAACAAGGAGAUCAGCAGAAUCCAGCCCCAGCUGGACAGGUUGAUUAUACCAAGGCUUGGGAAGAGUACUACAAGAAAAUGGGUCAGGCAGUUCCUGCUCCGACUGGGGCUCCUCCAGGUGGUCAGCCAGAUUAUAGUGCAGCCUGGGCUGAGUAUUAUAGACAACAAGCAGCCUAUUAUGCCCAGACAAGUCCCCAGGGAAUGCCACAGCAUCCUCCAGCACCUCAGGUAUAAUGUAAUUGCUAAUUUGUUGAUUUCUACUCCAGUCUGUUUUCUGCAUGUUUACUGUUUGUCUGUUUGGGAGUGUUUGCCUUUUAAAUUUUUAUCUGGCAAAGUAUAAUAACUAUUUAAAUGAAGUACUACGGUGUAUUGUUUGGGUUUUUUUUGUUUUUUAUAAUGCUUUCCAGCAUCUGA